Kogia breviceps (pygmy sperm whale) is the source of this 550-nucleotide non-coding RNA. The record is from RefSeq and is a predicted model, not a curated record. NCBI's taxonomy places the organism in Eukaryota, Metazoa, Chordata, Mammalia, Artiodactyla, Physeteridae.
GUUAUUAACAACAAAGAUCUUUGGGUGGUGGGAUUUUAGAUUUUUUUAUUUGCGUGCCUUUUAUACUUUUUCUACAAUGAAUAGUUAUUUGAAGAGGAAAAAAUAAUGGAAGGAGAAUAAUGUGAACAUUUUCCCCACGGACCAUUUAUUUGUCAUUGAGGUCUUUACCAAUUUGCAAAACAAAGACUCUCCUAUUUUUCUGGAUGAUGUUAAUUCUCUGAGCCAUUCUGUUUGCUCAAGCUGAUGCUGUGAUAACACAAUGCUCAUGAGAAAACAGUGGGGUUAUGGCCAUGUAUGGUGUCUAGUGAAUAACCCCAGGUACUCAAUGAGAGUUUGUCACACAUGUGAACAUCAUCUCUGUUAUAUGCUGUGAGACACACAAAACAUGAUCCUCAGAAGAAGAAGAAAGAAAACCACAGAUCUAGUAGACUAAUUCAACUAACUGAAUUAUAAGUUCCUUGAAGAAUGAAUGAUAUAAAAGUCACAUAAGUUUGUUUUAUAAAUGAAUGAAUGAAUGUACAAACAUAUACUCAUUGUCUCUUUUUGGUCU